Molecule: long non-coding RNA, 4882 nt
Filed under: Zea mays
Lineage: Eukaryota; Viridiplantae; Streptophyta; Magnoliopsida; Poales; Poaceae
Description: long non-coding RNA (ZMAY_LNC002266)
Source: RNAcentral
UUUGUUUAUAGUUUUCACACAAGGAUCAAGUGCUCAAAUAAAAGUAUUAGCUUUAAAAUGGUAUAUUUAUUCCUUAUAUAUAUGUAUAUUUUCUUAGUGUAUAUUGUUUCCCUUUCUUUCCUCCUUCCAUUUUCAAAUACUAAUUUUCAAACUUAAAUUUGUCUCACAAAUUUGAAUACAAAUGCAAAAAUACAAGAACUCCAGCAUGAAAUGCAUAUUUUCAAUGGCAUAUAUUCUUUUAUUAAUUAUUUGCUUUUGAAUAUGGUGUUCACAUGAUGACAAAUAGGUGCAAUUCACAUACAUAGAUAAAGGAAGACACUUUUCUCCUUUUAUAUGAUCUCUUACAAUUUAGGUGUUACAAAUCCUACCCCCCUUAACAGAAAUCUCGUCCUCGAGAUUUGUAAGAAAGAGGAUACAACAAGUUUAGCUUGUAGUCUAGAUUUCAGUUUCUAAUUAGUUCUAGUACCAAAGAUUUUUUUUCCAGACUAUAUCAAAUUAUCAGGUGAUUAGGAAGGCAUAUGUAUGGCCACCCCAUUAUGUAGGAUAAAAGAUGUCCUAGAGGUGUGAAUAGUUGUGGGUAAGAAAGAGUAGGGUAAAGAAAGACUUCAUCCCAGAUUGCGGAUCUUGAUUCAUCUGAUGAUUUAGCUUGAUCUUUGAAGGCUUGGGUUGAUGCUUAUCCUUCUUUGACGUGGUUGGUCUUCUUUGGUCUUUCUUCUUGGAGGUGCCAUCCGAGUUAAGGACAUAUAGUUAGGAUAGUCGGGGUACACGAGGUAGGUAGGUUUGAACAGAGUUGUAUUUUGCUUUUGGAACAAAUGGACUAGGCAGCCUGUGAUGUAGGUUAUAUUGUUGUUUACAGACAAGUUGGUCUAUGACAUUAAUUUAGGUUAGGUUAUGUUUGUUGAAGCAGCGUCUAACCCAUAUCACCAGAUUAACUAACAUGUUAGUAACUCACUUUUGAUUGGAUCAUAUUGGAUAAGAUGGUGAUCUAGAUUAGAUUGGAUAUAACUAGAUUAGACUAGUUAAGAUCUACUUAAUUUAUUUUGGACUAGAUCAUGGUUGUUACACUAGGAUGGGAUAAGCAAAAGUGGUUAGGAUGAGAUAAGAUGAAUCUAUUGAGAUAAUAGAGAAUUCUUUAAGAUAAGAUGGAUCUAUAGAUAUACUUUAUUGGAGGAUAAUCUAGAUUAUUUAGAAUUAUAUUUAAGCCUAUAUGUAUAUGUAGAUGUAAUUGUGGACAUUACUCCAAAACUCAUCACACUCAAUCAAAGAUCCAAAUCAAACAAGUAUCAUAAGAACAAACAUUCAAGUUCAUAGAUAUCUAUAAAAAUAGUUUUUUUUUGUUCCUAAGAUUAGGUCUCCUAUUCUUAAAAGUCACUUUAGGCACCGGAUUUCAAAGUGUGAAAUCCACAUUUGUCUUUAGAAAGAAAAGGUAAGAAUAAUCAGAGUAAAGCGGAAAUAGAUGAGAAGAGAUUAAGAAAAGUUUAGAAAAGAAUCAGAGUAGCAGAGGUAAGUAAGUAUUGGUUGUCCAGUUCUAUCUAGGUUUCGUCCUACAGUCAACAUUCCUCUGAUACCACUUCUGUCACACCCGGAUUUUAGGGGUCCAAAGCCCGGGCGCGAACAUAAUCACCAGGUGUGCUAGGACCAAGUCUCACACAUAUGAUGAAUCAUGGCACAGGAUCGAAUGUCACAUCUUUACUACAUAACAGGAGUUCUAUACAAAAAUAAAUAAAUAAUUACAUUAUAAGGAGACAACGGUCCAGCAACCCAAAGUUGACUGGGAGACGACGGCCUAGACCUCUCACGAACUCAUCACAGCAUCCUCCAAGCGCCUCAUCCUGUGGUACCUGUUCUUGACCUGUGGGGGGGGGUGUGAGACAGCAAGAGUGAGCUCACAUACGUUCAUCGCUCAACAAGUUGUGGGGAAUAAUGUGAAUGAACUCGCCAAAGGUGGGAGCUCAUGUGAAGUGUAAGGCUUACCAAAGAGGAUGGUUGAAGCUGAGCAUUGCUUUUAAAGUUGGUCAAAAUUUUAUUAGCAAUUACUAAGUAUAAGUAAAUACCAACCCAAUUGAAUAGUAGAACAAAAGUAACAACCUCACCUGCGAUGCAAUGCAUAUGACAAAUUGAGUUUAAGUUCCAUAAUUUAAUCAUGUGAGGGUCCGAGCUGCUCAUGACCGUGAGCACGGCUAGUAUACCAGUUUUACACUCUGCAGAGGUGGCGCAUCUUUACCCACAAGUCAUGUUACCCAUCUGCCAAGGGAUCGCGACUUCCCAUACACCUCUACCGAGGAGGCGAGGCAGGGUAACACUACGAGGCCUUUACAAAGUUCCACUAGCUUCAGAAAACCCGCUACAGUUUAUAGGAAGCUCCAAUGCAGGAAUUGCCUUGCAGGACCGCCAUCGCAGCAAAAUCCUCCCGAGGGUCUCCCUACACUGACCACUCCCCUACUGCCCUUGCCCCUUUCGGGUAAGGUAGUCCUCCACUAGCUUUCCUAAUUAAUCAGCCAAGGGCGUCCCAUUAUACCCUUGUGGUAGCACUGUUUUCCCGGGUGGUCGCUCCAUGUUCCAAUUAACAUAAUGAUCUUAUCAUGAACGGUGAUAAUAAACAGAUAAUAAAAGUAUAAUCAUGAGUAAUGUAUCUUCAUACCCAAAACCACAUAAAGCACUAGCAAGUACUACCCAAAAAGUUCAGUGGUAACAAGGUAUAAAGAUAAUCAAACUAGGGUAACCUAUUGGGUCCCAUCAAAAUUAACCUAUGCAGAUCAUUAUGAUUAAUCAGAACAUGGCUGGGUAAAAAGAAGUGAUCAAGGGCACAACUUGCCUAGGACUUUAGAUUCCAGGUACCAGGAUGAUCUUCAGGUGACACGUGACCUCACGCUAGUCGUAGCAAUACAAACAAGCAGUGUAUAGGCAAAAUUAACAUCACACCAAACAUGUAAACAAAAUACAUAAUAAUAAUCUACUCAUUAAAAUAAGAUUCUAGGAACAGAAAUCAUUAAUUUUGGAGUUACAGAUUCUAAGUUAUGAAUUUCUGAAGUUAAUAAGCAUCUAGAAUAGAUUAAUCCAAACGAAUAAUUUUAAUUUAAGUUUUAUGGUUAAACAAUGUUACUAGUUGAUAGACAAUGUUAAUACAAAAUUAUUGCAACUGGAAUUACUCAAUUUGGAGUUAAAAUGAAUUAACUAUGAAUUUCACAAGUUUCUGGCAUUUAUUUUCACAUUAAAAAUCAUUUUCUAUUUAUUUUUACUGGGUUUCCUAAUUCUCUGGACUGGGCACACAAAACCAGAGGAGCACAGGGUUUAAUUUAUAAGAUUUCCUAGACUCAGAAUUCACCCGCGCGGACGGCGGGUUAUUUAUAAUAAAGGGUAGGGGUUCUUUUGCAAUUGUCCCUGGCCAAAGGGGUAUCACCCAGUAUCAGCCGUAGGAUAUGAUAUAUGUGGCUCGGAUUAGAUCGUUACCUCAUUGAACCGGUAUGCAAUAUUAGGCAUCGGAUCAAUAAUCGACGAUCGAGGAUCCCCCAUGCGCGUAGGACAUACUAGUCCUUAGAUCAAGGAUCAACGGUCAUGAACGAAGCGUUUCAUAUGUUCCGAUCCUGGCCCUUCAUUCCGAUCCGACGCCCCCAGGCCAUCUUCCCCAACACGCACUGAGCAGAGGCGGCGCGGGGCGGCUUCACGGCGCUGAGGAGGGGCGGCGAGGAAUCUGGACGACCCCGCGACACCGCACAGAGCCCCAGCUCCAAAUUGAGGCCACGCAGUUCGUAUCCCGUGAAUCCAGGGUGGCGGCCGUGGCUUACUUCAUUCUCUCUCUCUCGAUCUCUCUGCAAUCCGUCGAACACACGGCGAACCCUCUCCAGCUUCUCUCUCUCUGCAUUAGCCAUGGCACGGUUCUAGCUCUCCGUUCUAGGGGAUGAGGAGGAGCACGCAACGAUCCUAGCUUUAUACAUGAGCGGACGAAGCUUCGGGCGACGAAUCCGGGCGUUUAGCGGAGUUCGUUGAGUCGGUUGCGCGAAUCGCGCAAGCCCGUUGCAAGGCGCCGGGAUGGGAGGUACCAGCGCACAGGGGCGGCGGAUGUAGCCUGGAAGCUCGGCGUGGUUUUCGGAUCGAGUGGAACCGCCAGGGAGCUCCAGCGGCGCGACCCGAUGGGAGCGGAGAAAGAAGAAACUCCUGACAGACGGGGCCCACAUUGCAGCCACUAGGGACGCGCGCGUGAAUGAUCAGGGGUGCCGACGAGAAGGGCCCACCCGCCAGCGACAAUCCGAGGGACGCAGACGCGGAAGGUGAGUGGAUGACGACGUGGGUCCCCCAUGGCGGAGACCACAUGCUGGUGCAUGGGCCGUGCGGUCCAAGUGGGCCAAAUUCAAGGUAGCAGACCCAGCUAGGUUUUUAUCUUUUUUUUUUCCUUUUAUCAUUUCUAUCUUCUAAUGUCAUAUUCCUACUCAAUUCAUAAUUUGAAUUCAAAUUUGUUUAUAGUUUUCACACAAGGAUCAAGUGCUCAAAUAAAAGUAUUAGCUUUAAAAUGGUAUAUUUAUUCCUUAUAUAUAUGUAUAUUUUCUUAGUGUAUAUUGUUUCCCUUUCUUUCCUCCUUCCAUUUUCAAAUACUAAUUUUCAAACUUAAAUUUGUCUCACAAAUUUGAAUACAAAUGCAAAAAUACAAGAACUCCAGCAUGAAAUGCAUAUUUUCAAUGGCAUAUAUUCUUUUAUUAAUUAUUUGCUUUUGAAUAUGGUGUUCACAUGAUGACAAAUAGGUGCAAUUCACAUACAUAGAUAAAGGAAGACACUUUUCUCCUUUUAUAUGAUCUCUUACAAUUUAGGUGUUACAAUUGGGGAAGAGGAGGCCUUUGUUGACGGCGAUGUUGGCGGCAUCCUCGUCGGAGGAGGAGUCAGUGGAGCU